RNAcentral lists this ribosomal RNA (301 nucleotides) under uncultured bacterium. Its description in RNAcentral is "partial 16S ribosomal RNA". It matches the Rfam family "Bacterial small subunit ribosomal RNA", at positions 509 to 807 of the family's 1533-position model. The record is from RNAcentral.
CAGUAGCCGCGGGAAUACGUAGGUGGCAAGCGUUGUCCGGAAUUAUUGGGCGUAAAGGGCUCGCAGGCGGUUUCUUAAGUCUGAUGUGAAAGCCCCCGGCUCAACCGGGGAGGGUCAUUGGAAACUGGGAAACUUGAGUGCAGAAGAGGAGAGUGGAAUUCCACGUGUAGCGGUGAAAUGCGUAGAGAUGUGGAGGAACACCUGUGGCGAAGGCGACUCUCUGGUCUGUAACUGACGCUGAGGAGCGAAAGCGUGGGGAGCGAACAGGAUUAGAUACCCCUGUAGUCCCUGUCUCUUAUAC